GUGCCAGCAGCCGCGGUAAUACGUAGGGUGCAGGCGUUAAUCGGAAUUACUGGGCGUAAAGCGUGCGCAGGCGGUUGUGCAAGACAGAUGUGAAAUCCCCGGGCUCAACCUGGGAAUUGCAUUUGUGACUGCACGGCUAGAGUGUGUCAGAGGGGGGGUAGAAUUCCACGUGUAGCAGUGAAAUGCGUAGAGAUGGGGGAGGAAUACCGAUGGCGAAAGGCAGCCCCCUGGGAUAACACUGACGCUCAUGCACGAAAGCGUGGGGAGCAAACAGGAUUAGAUACCCUGGUAGUCC
RNAcentral lists this ribosomal RNA (295 nucleotides) under uncultured microorganism. Its description in RNAcentral is "partial 16S ribosomal RNA". It matches the Rfam family "Bacterial small subunit ribosomal RNA", at positions 505 to 796 of the family's 1533-position model. The record is from RNAcentral.